This 143-nucleotide non-coding RNA is filed under the name Chromera velia. Lineage: Eukaryota; Chromeraceae. The record is from RNAcentral.
GUUUUUUUUUUUUCCCUUCUUUCUUUCGUCCUUUUAUUCAUUUCUUCUUUCCUUUCCAAAUAUGUGGCUUCACGCUAAAGGCGAACACAAACAAAUGAAUGGGGAACCACUGAAGAAUUAAAGUGUUGAAGGGAAGGAAGUCA